Molecule: ribosomal RNA, 543 nt
Filed under: Pseudomonas koreensis
Lineage: Bacteria; Pseudomonadati; Pseudomonadota; Gammaproteobacteria; Pseudomonadales; Pseudomonadaceae
Description: bacterial SSU rRNA
Rfam family: Bacterial small subunit ribosomal RNA
Source: RNAcentral
AGGAGCUUCGCUGCUGCUUUCCGCAGCAGAGGGGUGAGUAAGGCCUAGGAAUCUGCCAGGGACUGAGGGACAACGUUACCUAAGGAACGCUAAUACCGCAAACGUCCAACGGCACAAAACAGGGGACCUUCGGGCCUUGGGCUCUUGCAUUAGCCUGUGUCGGAUUAGCUAGUUGGUGAGGUAAUGGCUCACCAAGGCGACGAUCCCUAUCUGGUCUGAGAGGAUGAUCAGUCACACUGGAACUGAGACUCGGUCCAGACCCCUACUGGAGGCAGCAGUGGGGAAUAUUGGACAAUGGGCGAAAGCCUGAUCCAGCCAUGCCGCGUGUGUGAGGAAGGUCUUCGGAUUGUAAAGCACUUUAAGUUGGGAGGAAGGGGAGGAGAUUAAUACUCUGCUAUUUUGACGUUGCCGACACAAUAAGAACCGGCUAACUCUGUGCCUGCGCCCGCGGUAAUACUGAUGUUGCAAGCGUUAAUCGGAAUUACAGGGCGUAAAGCGCGCGUACGUGGUUUGUUAAUUUGGAUGUGAAAUCCCCGGGCUCAG